Molecule: transfer RNA, 74 nt
Filed under: Omnitrophica WOR_2 bacterium RIFCSPHIGHO2_01_FULL_48_9
Lineage: Bacteria; Pseudomonadati; Candidatus Omnitrophota
Also listed under: 1 other name
Description: tRNA-Pro
Source: RNAcentral
CGGAGCGUAGCGCAGUUGGCUAGCGCACUUGAAUGGGGUUCAAGAGGUCGUGCGUUCAAAUCGCACCGCUCCGA